CCUACAGGGGGCAGCAGUGAGGAAUAUUGGUCAAUGGCCGAGAGGCUGAACCAGCCAAGUCGCGUGAGGGAAGAAUGUCCUAUGGAUUGUAAACCUCUUUUGUCAGGGAGCAAAGUCACCCACGUGUGGGUGUUGGAGAGUACCUGAAGAAAAAGCAUCGGCUAACUCCGUGCCAGCAGCCGCGGUAAUACGGAGGAUGCGAGCGUUAUCCGGAUUUAUUGGGUUUAAAGGGUGCGUAGGCGGGUUAUCAAGUCAGCGGUAAAAUCGUGGAGCUCAACUCCAUCCAGCCGUUGAAACUGGCAAACUGGAGUGUGUGAGAGGAUAGUGGAAUUCCAGGUGUAGGAGUGAAAUCCGUAGAUAUCUGGAGGAACAUCAGUGGCGAAGGCGACUAUCUGGCACAUAACUGACGCUGAGGAGCGAAAGCGUGGGUAGCAAACAGGAUUAGAUACCCGGGUAGUC
RNAcentral lists this ribosomal RNA (459 nucleotides) under uncultured bacterium. RNAcentral describes it as "partial 16S ribosomal RNA". It matches the Rfam family "Bacterial small subunit ribosomal RNA", at positions 338 to 795 of the family's 1533-position model. The record is from RNAcentral.